This 583-nucleotide ribosomal RNA is filed under the name Filobasidium magnum. RNAcentral describes it as "partial large subunit ribosomal RNA". It matches the Rfam family "Eukaryotic large subunit ribosomal RNA", at positions 72 to 641 of the family's 3401-position model. Lineage: Eukaryota; Fungi; Basidiomycota; Tremellomycetes; Filobasidiales; Filobasidiaceae. The record is from RNAcentral.
GGAUUCCCCUAGUAACGGCGAGUGAAGCGGGAAGAGCUCAAAUUUGAAAUCUGGUGGCCUCAGGUCAUCCGAGUUGUAAUCUAUAGAAGUGUUUUCCGUGCUGGCUCAUGUACAAGUCCCUUGGAACAGGGCGUCAUAGAGGGUGAGAAUCCCGUCCUUGACAUGAACUACCAGUGCUCUGUGAUACAUUUUCAACGAGUCGAGUUGUUUGGGAAUGCAGCUCAAAAUGGGUGGUAAAUUCCAUCUAAAGCUAAAUAUUGGCGAGAGACCGAUAGCGAACAAGUACCGUGAGGGAAAGAUGAAAAGCACUUUGGAAAGAGAGUUAAACAGUAUGUGAAAUUGUUGAAAGGGAAACGAUUGAAGUCAGUCGUGCUCUUUGGAUUCAGCCGGUUCUGCCGGUGUACUUCCUUUGAGUGGGGUCAACAUCAGUUUUGAUCGCUGGAUAAAGGCUGGAGGAACGUAGUACCCUCGGGUAAACUUAUAGCCUCCUGUCACAUACAGUGGUUGGGACUGAGGAACGCAGCACGCCUUUAUGGCCGGGAUUCGUCCACGUACGUGCUUAGGAUGUUGACAUAAUGGCUUU